CCUACGGGAGGCAGCAGUAGGGAAUUUUCGUCAAUGGGCGCAAGCCUGAACGAGCAAUGCCGCGUGAACGAGGAAGGUCUUCGGAUCGUAAAGUUCUGUUGAAGGGGAAAAAGAGCGGAGAGAGGAAAUGAACUCCGAUUGAUAUUACACUUCGAGGAAGUCACGGCUAACUACGUGCCAGCAGCCGCGGUAAUACGGAGGUGGCGAGCGUUAUCCGGAAUGAUUGGGCGUAAAGGGUGCGUAGGCGGCCUGCUAAGUCUGGAGUGAAAGGUACCGGCUCAACCGGUACAGGCUCUGGAAACUGGCGGGCUAGAGAGCAGGAGAGUGCGGUGGAACUCCAUGUGUAGCGGUAAAAUGCGUAGAUAUAUGGAAGAACACCAGUGGCGAAGGCGGCCGCCUGGCCUGUUACUGACGCUGAGGCACGAAAGCGUGGGGAGCAAAUAGGAUUAGAUACCCCAGUAGUC
RNAcentral lists this ribosomal RNA (464 nucleotides) under uncultured bacterium. Its description in RNAcentral is "partial 16S ribosomal RNA". It matches the Rfam family "Bacterial small subunit ribosomal RNA", at positions 338 to 795 of the family's 1533-position model. The record is from RNAcentral.